Molecule: ribosomal RNA, 492 nt
Filed under: uncultured bacterium
Lineage: Bacteria
Description: partial 16S ribosomal RNA
Rfam family: Bacterial small subunit ribosomal RNA
Source: RNAcentral
AUUGAACGCUGGCGGCAUGCCUAACACAUGCAAGUCGAGCGGAAACACGACUAGCGGUGCCGACUAAUGGUGGCGGGGGGCGUAAGGCUUAGGAAUGUAUCCCGUACUUGUGGAUCAGGGAGCACAACGUGAGACAAUACCGAAUACGAGCUGAUAUAGAGAACGGGAUGCCACAAUGGAAAGUGUGGCCUUUCCCGUUUGGAAUAGCCGAGGUCGGAUUAGGUAGUUGGUGGGGUAAAGGCCUACCAAGGCGACGAUCCGUAGCUGGUCUGAGAGGAGGACCAGCCACACUGGGACUGAGACACGGGCCAGACUCCUACGGGAGGCAGCAGUGGGGAAUUUUGGACAAUGGGCGCAAGCCUGAUCCAGCAAUGCCGCGUGCGGGAAGAAGGCCUUCGGGUUGUAAAACGCUUUUGUUCGGAAAGAAAAGACUCUGGCUAAUACCUGGCGCUGAUGACGGUACCGUAAGAAUAAGCACCGGCUAACUACGUG